This 484-nucleotide ribosomal RNA is filed under the name uncultured bacterium. Its description in RNAcentral is "partial 16S ribosomal RNA". It matches the Rfam family "Bacterial small subunit ribosomal RNA", at positions 30 to 507 of the family's 1533-position model. The record is from RNAcentral.
AUCGAACGCUGGCGGCAGGCCUAACACAUGCAAGUCGAGCGGAUGAAGCCUGCUUGUUUGUGGUUCUAGCGUGGGACGGGUGAGUGAAGCCUAUGAAUCUGCCUGGCAGUGCGGGAUAAUGACUGGAAAAGGGUGCGAAUAAUGCCUACGUCCAGAGGCAGCAACUGGGUGAUCUUCGGACCUCUUGCUCUCAGAGGAGUCUAGGCCGGGUUUGCUAGUUGGUGGGGUGAAGGCUUACCAAGGCGAGGAUCCGUAACUGGACUGAGAGGAUGAUCGGUCACACGAGAGCUGAGACACGGUCCAGACUCCUGCGAGAGGCAGCAGUGUGGAAUAUUGGACAGUGGGCGAAAGCCUGGUCCAGCCAUGCCACGUGUGUGAAGAAGGUCUUCGGAGUGUAAAGAACUUUAAGUUGGGAUGAAGGGCAGUAAGUUAAUACCUUGCUGUUUUGACGGUACCAACAGAAUAAGCACCGGCUAACUACGUG